Molecule: long non-coding RNA, 2159 nt
Organism: Callithrix jacchus (white-tufted-ear marmoset)
Lineage: Eukaryota; Metazoa; Chordata; Mammalia; Primates; Cebidae
Source: Ensembl
UUUAAUAAUUUCUUACUUCUCCACUAUAGAUUAAUAUUCACAGAGAAGUUCACCUGAGUAUCAGGGACUUGAGAUAUUUUGAUCAAGCCAGUCUGUAUAACAUAAUGCCUUUCCCUGUUGCCACAGAGAUUAGAAUCUGCUCCCAGAAGAAGAAGGGGCAACAGGCAAGCAAAGAUAAUUGAAAUCACUGUGCAUGCCCAACCUGACGAAAGUCAUAGACUUUUUUGGCUACAGAGCAAGAUACUAUGGAUGUAACACUGAGCAAAAGUAGACAUGCUCCUUCCAGUAUCACCAUAAGGUCUACACUUAAGGUAGAAGCUUUCCAGUGGACUUUGCAAAGCAAGGUGCUGUGAAAUUAACUAUCUACAGACAGGGCCAUGUGUCAGGCCAGCAAGAGUGACAUGUAGGAUCUGAAGGCCUCAGUCCUAGACUGUAAGAAACUGAAAUCUGCGAUAAACAACAUGAAUUUGAAAGAAACCCCUGAACUCCAGAAUACACAGCUGACACCUUGAUUGAAGCUUUAUGAGAUACUAAGCAGCGGACUCAACUGAGUUGUAUACAGAUAUCUGACCCAUAGACACUCUGAAAUAAUAAUUGGUGUUGUUUUAAGCUGCUAAACUUGUGGUAAUUCCCACAUAGCAACAUAGCAAUAGAAAUUAAAUACACAGAUAAAAUAUUUUUUCUUAUAAUUCUGUUUAAAAAUUAAUUUUGGAGAUUAUUUUGUAUUUUCUGAAAUAUUUUGUAUAAGAUUAUAUUAUUUAUUGUUUAAAUAUUUUAAAUAAAUAACCAGUGAAGGCUCUGGGCCUAGAUUGUUCUUUGUUGAAAGGUUUUCUGCUACAAAUACAAUUAAAAUCUGGAACAAUCAGCAUUUUAAUUAAUAGUGUUGGUAAUUUGUGUUCUUAUUGUUUUUUCUUUCAUUGCAAUAGCUAGAUAAUGACCAAUUUGGCUGAUAUGUUUAAAAGAAUUAGCUUUUGGUUUUAUUAAAUUUUUCCCCAUCAUUGUCACUUUUCUGUCAUCAAUCUAAGCUCUUUUUUUAUUAUCUUACUUUUACUCACUUUGGGCUUAAUUACUACUUUUUUUCCUCGCUUCUUUAAAUGGAAGAUUAGACCAAAUAAUUAAGACCUUUCUUCUCUUUACCAUAAACAUCAAAAGCUGGGAACUUCCAACAUAGUAUUGUGUUAGCCACAGAACAGUUUUUAAGAUGUUUCAUUUUGUAUUAUUUCAUAUUUUUACAUUUCCCUUUGAUUUUUUUUCUUGGAUCACAAGUUAUUAACGAGUGCAUUUUUAAAUUUUAAAUAUUUUGGGAUAACCUGGUUAUAACCAUACAUUCAACUUAGUUAUUGGGGAUAAACUAGUUAUGUGUCUAUUUUUGAUUACUAAUUUAAUCCCAUUAUGGCCAGUUAAUUUCAGUUUUCUGCUAUUUGUUUUAUGACCCAGCAUAUGAUAUAUAUUUUUAAGUAUUUUACAUAAACUUAAAAAUUGUGCAUACUCUACUGUUGCAAGAUAGAGUAUAAUAUAAAUUAAGUAAAGUAAUUGGUGUUAUUCAAAUUUUCUAUGUAUUUAUUAGUUUUUAAUCUACUUACUCUAUCAAUAACUGAGAAAAAAGAGGCAAAUUUUUCAAAUGUAAUUGUGAAAUAUGCCCUUUUCCCUUUCUGAUUCUAACAGUUUUUUUACUUUUAAAAGUAUUGUUGUCAGUGCAUACUCAUUUAGGAUGUGUUUAUGUCUCUUGAUAAAUUAACUUUCUUAUAAUUACAUGUCCUUCUUUAUCCAUGUUAUUAUCUUUAAGCUUAUCAUUAUCUGAUAUUGGUAUUGCUUCUUACAUUCUUGAUUAUUAGACUUUGCAUGAUAUAUUGACUACACCCAUCUUUUCUUUUAACACAACUGUACCUCAAUAUUUAAAGUAAUUUUCAUAUAGAUAGUAUAUAAUUGCCUCUUGCUUUUUUAUAUAGACUGACAAUUGAAGUGUUUGUAUCAUUUAUGUUUCACAAAAUUAUCAAUAUAUUUGGGCUUAUAUAUACAAUUUUAUUUGUAUUCUGUUUGUCCUUUUUCUUUGUCCUUUUUUUCUUUUAAAGUAAUUCUUUUUCUACUCAAUUAUAUGUCUGCUAUUGACUUAGCCAUAUUAUUUUGUUUUAUUUUUAGGAUCACUGCUAUAGAAUUUU